UCGUAAAAUGGUGAAUUAUUCAAUUCAAUUGACAACUAUAUGCAGGUUUGUUCACGGAGAGUCCCAUGGGCGUUUGUUAACAAAUUUCAAGCGAUUACUCACUUAAAAAAAACUGGAUUUAUCAAGAUCAGAUGUGAAUCAAGACCUCUGGGAAAACUCCCUCGUCCAGGCAUUUCUGCAUAGCAGACCUAAACAUCCCGGGAGCCUCUGCAAUAGCUACUUUUAAUGCCAAGUUCGGAGCUCCGUCCAGACCUGAGGCCUUACCUACGCUAAGGGACUUUGCUAUCCUCGCAAAUUCUUCACCGCCAGCCCAAGUCCUCUGCUGUCCUACGAAAGAAGGCCAAGGACUAGGGUAAUGACGCAGAAAAAGCCCCUCGAUGACCCCCUCCAACAUCUCUGGAGACUGCUCUGUAGGAGCCAUUACACCUCUUGUCUUGGACAUCACGAUCCUGUAGGCAUCACCCCACGGAUUCGCAUUGGCAUUCUGACAGAAAUCUUCAAAGCAGGCCUUUUUGCCCUAAUCUCAAUGUUUGGGCUGCAAAAUGGUGGGUCGAUAAGGAGAUCGUCCAACAUAGGUCUGGUCCUCACAAGUUCCUACCUCAUGCUUCCACGCACGGAUCAAGCGAUGACAAAGACCGCCAGCUAAAAGUGGUGUGUUUAGCUGGAAGUGUAGCCUAGGUACUGUUGACCUUCUGACUUCAACUAGAUUGAGGAGGUACGUCCCGAGCGUCUGUUCACCAAGGAGGUGCGGCUCAAACAGCGUGUGUUCUGGCAUCCAGCGGCUGAGUAUGAAAUGCUCUUCCACCGGAAGCUAUACCUAAGGUGGCAGCCCCUUCACGGUGGAUAGGGGACCUUAGGCCAACAACCUACUGUUCUCCAAACCCAAAAACCGUUACAGAAACCCAAAACCGAAAAUGAAAGAUCACGAACUGAUUCAACGGCAACGACUUUUAGAACGAAACAACGGACAAUAAUUGGAACUUGGAAUGUAUUGGCCCUAGCCCAACAGGGUGAACUGGCACAAUUAGCCAAUGAGGCAUGCCGUAUGAAGCUUGAUAUCCUCGGACUGAGCGAAGGAACACCACCUACCGUUCGAUUUACUCUUCUUCAGUUCAUGCUCGCUGCAUCCGCCGCCUAGCCCGUAGGUAGGCGUGGCGCAGGCGUGAGCUCGAGAAUCUUUUCACCCGUCUAAUACUGCGCACGUUGGCUUCCAGAUUCACAAGCUUGGCGUCGUUCCUCAUCGCCUUCAAGACUUCCGAGUACUUAGACUGUUCGGUCUUGAUGACGAGCGCAUCGCCCUUCUCGCGCUUGGCACCUGCCCUCCUACGUUUCCUAGGCCUGUCCCUUCUCUCCUACGGUUUCUUCUUCUUCCGCUCUACUUUGGUCCAAAGGACGUCCUACACCGCCCUGACCCACCCUAACUUGUGGUUGCUGAGGACCAAACAGUGGUCGCAGCCCCCUGUUCGCUUCGAUCCGGGACAGGUCGGCCUUUUCAGGCCCACCCUUCCCAUCUCUCCGGGACGCCUGUCUGGGUUUCGACUUGCCGGCUUUACUACCGACCUCAGGGGUUAACUGCCGCCCAGCCUUGCGGGCGUUGCCUGGUAGCUUCUCACCUAAUGGCUGCCUCACAUGCUUCAGUGAUUGUUUGUCGUAAGCAAUAGCAGCCGCCACACUUUAAGGACUACUCGCGAAAGCGAAGGCCUCCGUCUGGGUAAACAUCGGAACCUUUGUCUUUGCGGGUUCUGCCGCUGUCGUAGUUUCCAUGGUUUCUCAUGGUAUUGCUCGGUUGCCUUCAUUGACUUUCGAAGUCUUAGCAGGGCCUGCUUGAGGUCCUUGCUGAUGUUGGACUUCAAGGACGCAAAUUCAAUAAUGGAAUCAAGCUGCUGCGUAGCGACCUCCAUCGUCAGAGAGCCCAUCUAGAUUCUCGUUCCGUCCAAUACCACACCCGACAAACUAGCCGGGGAUGACAUUGGGUUACCGGCGCUGGCACUACGUGCACAGCUCCCUAUUCCUUCUGCUUUCCCUCACAGAGACCUAUCCAACACGCUUUUCUCGAAGGGGUUAACCUCGCCGCCACUACCGCUACCUCCACUAGAUUUUUGAUAAUUAUUGUAAUUAUCUAAAUUUUGAAUCCCACGAGUAGCCCGAGAAAGAAAGUACAUUACAUACAUACAUAGAUUUGUUCAACACCAUAUUGUAGCGGUCAGGAGAUUUUGUAUAUAUUUUGUAAAUAAGUCUGUAAAUAUUUAAAAUAAGAUAGAUUGUAAGAGAAUACAAUCUGUCUCAGAUAAUUCAAAUUUGUAAAUAUCCCUUAGCUUAGGCAAACGAAAAGCAUUCAUUAACAAACGCUUCCCGAGGUCGAGGCCAUUUGUUUUCUGGAUAAGGUGGGAAAGGGAAAGCAGCACGACUAUCGGUCAAGUUAUCCACAUCACAUAGCGGUGUAGUCACGAUUGAACACGAAGGGUUUCGGGAAAUGACGUACUUCCGGGUACGUCCGAGAUCAUUCACUUUUCCUUAUCUGGGGCUACAAAGACUCGAUCAUUUCGUCCGUGAUAGCUCAAAGAGUUGGAAGUGUCCGCGUUUGCUUGUUAGUUUUUCGUGUGCCUAGAGUAGGUUUAAUGUGAUGUUGGAUAUAGUUAGAUAGUUUAAUUUCUGUGUUUCGUUCCAUAGUAGGCCAAACGUGUGCGUAGAUAACUGUGUGCGAUUGUUGAACGAUAAGAAGCCUAAGGAAAGUACGGGCAUUCAUCUUCAAUCCGCAGAUUCUCGUACCCAAACGUGACCGCUUCUCCCCAGCGGACGAAAACACCCGGCGACCGUCAACCAGCCGGAAGCGGACGGAUCCGUCACCAAAUCGGUCCGAGAAGGCCCGGGGACCUUCAGGUGGACGAAGUCCACGAGCUGGUGCGCCAACUGACCAGCAGGGCAUCAACCAAUUGCCAGAAACCGCCAUCGCAUAGCUACCGUCAACCGCCAUUGCGAUCACGCGGUGACGAGCCGAUCAACGACAGCGCCUUCAAUCAACCAAGCCGCCGGUGAGUCAACGACCCGGCUUACAGGUCAUCGACUGCUGAGGUUGAGUAAGCAGAACAGAUCGGUGAGUCAACCAAUUUCUUUUAUUUGCGGAGUGCGGCGUCCGCUGAGGGCGCCGCGGAGGAUUUUUUUGUGCCAGUCAAAGACUGAUGAGAUGAAGUGCCUUUAGAGCCAAUCGACCUGUUUUGAACAUCGGAAUUCAUUCCGAUAGCGUCUUGGGAGCCACCGUCUUCGGUUCCGUGAAAAUGCGUGCGUGAGCCCGUCUUCGCCACCACUGCAAGAAGGUCGGAUACUAGGAGCGCAGACAUUGUUGAAGCUGAGCUUCCGAUAAGUGACGUCACGUGAAUAGAGCAGUAGAGCACUGAGCACAGAUAGGGAGAUAGAAAGGGAGUGGCUAGUAAUCGCACACCAGCUAGGAGCUUGUAAAUAGGGAACGAACGCAUACAAUGACAUGAAUUCGAAUUCGAUCGUAGCAAUAAAAAUGUAUGUUAACCUAGGUAGUAAGUGAAUAUAUUCGUAUCAGUUUCGCCAAAACCCCAAAUAGGUAAAUGUGUUAUGAGUUUCCAUCCUAGCAAUAUGAUUGUUUAAUUGUAUUUAGCAUCACUGCGCGGCUUGCUGUAGUUUCGUGUCCCGUCCUCCACACGUAGAGUUUGAUUGGGUUAUCUUAUGAGUGUCUUCCAGCUCAGUGAGGGAUCUGGUGGUGAGAAGAGAGAGUUCUGCCAGUGAUGAGAACUUCUUUUCAGUGAGAUCGUAGGGGUUCAGGUGAGAUCUCUCACCGCUUCUCUGAGUGUCGUCGUGAUUGUGCUGUUAUGUUGUGGUAAUAGGGAUUUCCCGUUUGGCCGUUUUAAAUCGUAGCCAGCUGGAUCGAUCCAUAAAUCCUUUCCAGGAAAUGAAAUGGACUCGCCCUUAGGGAGUCUCAUCCGGGCAAUUUAAAAUUGGGCUCGUGGUCUCCUUUCGAGGAGUGGCGCAUAAGCCACGUGUUUUAUGCUGGAUCGCCCAGCAACGGCUACAAUAUUUAAGACAAGACAUUAUCAACAAUAGUACACCACAAUACUCGAUUUUUGACUGCCGCUCUCCAUCCUCGGUCGCGCCCAAAGCUUGCUAGGUCGCGCUCCACCUGCUCCACCCAUCGUGCUCUCUGCGCUCCACGCAUUCUUGUGCCAACCACCAGCUUUGCAGGGUUGUUAUCCGGAAUUCUUGCAGCAUGCCCUGCCCACCGUAUCCUUCCGGCUUUGGCCACCUUCUGGAUUGUGGGUUCGCGUAAAGUGCAGCGAGCUCGUGGUUCAUCCUUCUCCGCCACACACCGUUCUCCUGCACACUGUUGAAGAUCGUCCUUAGCACGCGUCGCUCGAAAACUCCGAGUGCUUACAGGUCCUCCUCGAGCAUGGUCCAUGUCUCGCGUCCGUCACCGGUCUCAUUAGCGUUUUGUACAUGAUGUAUUUGGUGCGUGAGUGAAUCUUUUUAGCCCGCAGCUUCUUUUGGAGCCCGUAGUAGGCCCAAACUUUCGCUGAUGAUGCGCCUUCGAAUUUCGCGACUCACGUUGUUGUCAGCCGUCAGUAAGGAUCCGAGGUAGACGAAUUCCUCCAUCACCUCGAAGGUAUCCCCGUCUAUCGUAACAUUACUACCCAGACGGAUCCGGUCGUGUUCGGUUCCGCCUACCAGCAUGUACUUUGUUUUUGAGGCAUUCACCACCAGUCCGACCUUUGCUGCUUCGUGUUUCAGGCGGGUGUACAACUCUGCCACCGUUCCAAAUGUUCUGGCAAUAAUGUCCAUGUCGUCCGCAAAGCACACAAAUUGACUGAAUUUUGUGAAAAUCGUUCCCCGACUGUUGAGUCCGGCUCAUCGCAUCGCACCUUCCAGAGCGAUGUUGAAGAGUAGGCAGGUACGUAGAAUCUUGAGAAAUGGGUUUAAUUGAGGUUCAACGAAAACCGCUUCAGUUACAUAAUAAAGAACAGUUUGUAUAAUGUAUGAAAAAUAUCCUACAUUGCAGAAUAACAAUUGAAAGUUAUGCAAAAAAACUGAUAAUGAUUUUAUUGGAAAAUAAAAAAGACAUCGCACAAGCAAGGUGUCCUCUUUAUAAAAUGAACAGUCCUUACUAAAACAUUUACACUCACACCAACACAUUUACAUGAUCUACUCAAAUACACUUACACAAUCUGAAUCUUGCCGCAUCACUCACUUAUAGUCAAUCCCUAAUUAACCCAUUCCAAAUAUCGAACUCCUUGACACUUAUGGGGGCGUCGGUGAGUCGCUAACCUCUUGUAAAGUAGGUGUCAUAUCAUCACAUCCUUUCCUAUCCUCGUAACGGAGAAGAUGGGCGUGGCCAGCAAUGGAAGUUUUCAUGUCUUUUUUGCUUCAACCUCUGAUUGGAUAGCCAUUCCUUCCCAAAUAGCUUUCCAUAAGCAAUUAGAAUAGAAGUAUUCAAGUUUUAACAUGACAACUUUCAGUAUGCAAUCUACGAAUUACUCCGUUACCACGCAACGCAACGCAAAUAAAAACCACAAACCUUCUCGGGUCAACACCUGACGAGCUCGAAUCGUCCAGGUUUCGUAGUUUUCGUUUGUUUACUCUCAUUGCCAAUAAAAUCUUGUCCGGGAGAUGCAAUUCCAAAGUACUGCUCGGAACUCGCGAUCAGCAUAAUCAUCUGGUAGGUUGUUGGUAAAUAUUUACUCCCUCCCUGUCUGCUGGGGCUCACUCACAUGGGGCAUGCUUUCCGAAUCUCCGCGCCUCUUUAAAUGACGAUCACAUACGAGCGGCCAAACUUAGUAUAGGAUGGAAUCUUCGUACGAAUCGGAAGCACAAGCGAGUUGUAAUCAGCAUGAAGAGGUUGUACGUUUUCGUUGCUAGUCUAGUGUUGCUCUGCAUAGUCGCCGAAAUCAGCGCAGGCUUAGCCAGAAAGAUGUGCAUAAAGAAACUGGAUCAGGUGUUGAUGUUUAUUUGCAAAGAUGAAGUCAAUAGCUUGGACCAGCUUCAGUAUGACACCUACAAAGAGUGCUGCAUAAAGUCAUGCGAAAUGACGACGUUGGAGAAAUUGUGUAAAAAUCAGUCGUAGUUUGAAAUAAGCAGAUGUCUUUUGUUUUCGACGCGGUGCUGUUGAUGGGAUUCAGUCGGAAAUACCUGUGAAUUAAAUUAUUCAAAACAUAAAGAAACUUGACAGUGAUAAGCUUUUGUGUUCAGAAAA
Molecule: long non-coding RNA, 6211 nt
Organism: Aedes albopictus (Asian tiger mosquito)
Lineage: Eukaryota; Metazoa; Arthropoda; Insecta; Diptera; Culicidae
Exons: 4
Source: RefSeq, a predicted model, not a curated record